Long non-coding RNA from Dama dama (fallow deer), 1628 nucleotides. RefSeq lists it as uncharacterized. Lineage: Eukaryota; Metazoa; Chordata; Mammalia; Artiodactyla; Cervidae. The transcript is spliced from 5 exons. The record is from RefSeq and is a predicted model, not a curated record.
GGCUGCUUCUCCGGGUAGCAUCGCCCAGGACACGUUCUACCAAUUAAACAGGUGACCGCGUUUCCAGAAGCAAUUACGGAGAGCUGCACUGCCUCCCAAGGCGAGGUGAUUAAGGAGAGUGCUCGAGGCCGCCGUGCGGCUGGAAGCAGGGCCCCGAGGGGUCAGGGGACCGAGGGGUCAGGGGACCGCAGGGACGCCAGGCUGCGCGGCUCCCUGCCCCCGAGCGCGCGUGCGCCAGCGGAGAGGGUCCCGCGGAGGAAGCUGGAGUUGGGAGAAGAGGAAGCUGGACACGGCCGGGGAGGCCCUCAGCCCCAGACUUCAGAGCCACAGCUGGGUCUCUGAGCCCCUGUCCUUCCCGUCUCCUUCUCUGGUGUGUGCCAGUUUGGAAAAAAGAUUUGUGCGAAUCUCGGCUCCAUCCCAGGGGUCAGGGAGGCGCGCUGCCUGCUUGGGAGCGAGAAGGAACGAACUGUCCCGGGUCUCCCUGGUGAGAAACCUUUGCCACAGUCUCCUUGACUUCCUCACAAAGGCUGGUGAGCCGCUGGAGGCCGCCCACGUGGGGAAAGUCGCAGCACCUUUGGAGCAGGAAGGAUGGAGUCAGAAGUGGCCCCGACCAGCCUCCUUCCUGGCUGAGGCUCGGGAAAGGGCGGCUCUGGCUGCUCCCCACGUUCUCCAACUCCAAGGAACAACCCUGCCCGCCCCGCCUUCCUUCCACCUGCUCUCUGGAUCACCUGUAAGAAUUCCCCCUCAGCCCUUGCGGGGCAGACUGCUGUCGUGUUGGUGGAGGAGGACAGCUGUAGCUGGCUUGUGAAGGACGGCAGGUCCUGUGAUGUUCACUGCUCCCCACACACAUAUUUCUACCUUUUCUUGAAGCUGCUUUGAAUUGGUUUGCAUUUUGGGAACCAAAGGACCCCUAGGAUAGAAGACAAGAGCACGGACUCCAGGACCCACAGGCUUCAGUAGUUGUGGUGCACGGACUUAGCUGCCCUGAAGCUUUUGGGAUCUUCCCGGACCAGGCUGACAAGCAAGACUGAGAGGGGAGAUGGGAAGGUCGUUACGAAAAUGAAGUGCACAGCUAAGUGGCACGCCGCUGCCACCCACCUGCCCGCGCAGAGUGACUGAGACGUGGGAAGCAAGCCCCGCUUGCCUCACUCCGGGGGCUCCUGGCUGGGCCGGGGGUCAGCACCACGGACAGGGCACAGCUUCAUUCUGCUUUCCCUUGGUCUGGCACGCCAGCUCCUUCUGCUCCCUGAUAAAGUUUGUUUUUCCUAAGCCUCAGAUGGGGUGUCAUCCCCCUCUGGAAAUCUUGAGUGCAGCCCCAGAUGGUGUCUGCAGGGCAAUCUUUGCACAAUCUCAUAGCACCUAUGACAGGGUGUUAAAAUGCUUCAUUUCCUUGGCUGUUUUCCCUGCUCAUUUGUAAACCACCUUGAACGCAGGGUGUGUGUUACCCUCUCCAUAUUCCUGAGUCCUGACCACGUGCCCAGCACUCAGGGAGAGAAUUUGUUGGGGAAUGAAUGAAUGAGCCGGUGAAUAAAUGCGUAGAUGGACAAUGUGUUCAAUGAAAGAAUCAAUGGGUAUAGAAUCCCGGCUUGGCUAUUGAAGGGGUGGGUAAAGAUGCAGAUACAAAAAGA